CCUGCGUGCGUGCGUGCGUGUGUGUGUGUGUGUGUGUGUGUGUGUGUGUGCCACACAUGCACAUGCACAGGCGCGCACGC
Molecule: microRNA precursor, 80 nt
Filed under: Sorex araneus (European shrew)
Lineage: Eukaryota; Metazoa; Chordata; Mammalia; Eulipotyphla; Soricidae
Description: miRNA (ENSSARG00000016955.1)
Source: RNAcentral